Long non-coding RNA from Oreochromis aureus, 1053 nucleotides. The record is from Ensembl. NCBI's taxonomy places the organism in Eukaryota, Metazoa, Chordata, Actinopteri, Cichliformes, Cichlidae.
GUUUUAUUGUGAAAAUCACGCCGGAAGAGAUCCGAGUGCCAGCCUCCAGUAUUAGCAGCGGUGUUAGGAUUCAGUGUGGCAGCAAGGGAAAUCAGUGGAAUCUGGGCCAUCUGGGAAAAGGGCAGUCGGUGAAAACCGGCACUAAACCGGCAAGAAUCCCGGCGAAGUGUCCACCGUGACACCGCAGAAGCUCCCGGCGGACUCCUCUGUCCCGUCUCCCGCUGCUGGCUGCGGUUUUUCCUCCCUGGAUCCGCACAGCUGAUUGAAUCAUCCCUGUGUGCUGCGCUCCAGCUGGACUGAGCUGUUAGCAGACCAAAGGUCAGAGUCUGGUUGAGAUGAGAGACCUGUCCAAGAGGCGAGCAGAAGUUACACCAAAACUGGAGACACAGAUUCCUUUGUGGGGUUGUGUCAGAAACCAAGCAUGCAGAGCUGUGGCGACUCCUUGGCCCCAUCCAGAUAGCAGCUGGUGUCAUCUGCAUAGCAACAAAAACGUGUGAAGUCUUAUCUAAUAAUAUUAGCUGGAUCAAUGGAAAAACAACGUCUGUGGGUGGACGUGGCCAUCAACAAUAUCCCCCACACCAGCAGCAUGGACAGGAUGAAUCCAUGCUGAUCCUACUGGACAAAUGUCACGGCAGAUUUUCAGACCCAUAUCACCAGGAAACAUUUUCAAACUUCUCCAUUUUGGGUUCAGAGUGGUGACAAGUAAGCAGCUCUCCAGGAAUAGCAUGCUGUGCCCUGGGCAACACUGUGGGGUUGUCUGGGUGGAGAGCUGGAGGAGCCAGGGCGAGGUGACAGAGUGGAGGAGGAGCUGCUUGGAGUUAUCGAUCAGACCGGAGUUUCAGGCCUACAAUACUGUCACUGUUAAGUACAACUCGAUGAGCUGUAUGUGCAGCUUAAUAAUCUUUACCAAAAGACAGUUUUUUCAUAUGUACUGGAAAAGAAAAGAAUAGUGUGUAAUAUCAACUGUGAUAAUUUGAUUUCAUUUACCUUCAAUGUGAUAUUAGAAACAGCCAAACAGAGUCAAGAUCACUACAGUCAAAAUAAGACUAUUUU